Molecule: ribosomal RNA, 776 nt
Filed under: uncultured Neocallimastigales
Lineage: Eukaryota; Fungi; Neocallimastigomycota; Neocallimastigomycetes; Neocallimastigales
Description: partial large subunit ribosomal RNA
Rfam family: Eukaryotic large subunit ribosomal RNA
Source: RNAcentral
CCUAUACAUGACUCUGCGCAUAUCAAUAAGCGGAGGAAAAGAAACUAACAAGGAUUCCCUUAGUAACGGCGAGUGAAGCGGGAAGAGCUCAAAUUUGAAAUCUUCAAGGUUUUACCUUGACGAAUUGUAGUUUAAAGAAGUGUUUUCUGCUGAAGUUUUGGUAAAAGUUCUUUGGAAUAGGACAUCAUAGAGGGUGAGAAUCCCGUAUUUGACCAUUAUUUUCAGCUUUGUGAUACACUUUCAAAGAGUCGGAUUGUUUGGGAAUGCAGUCCAAAAUGGGUGGUAAAUUUCAUCUAAAGCUAAAUAUUGGCGAGAGACCGAUAGCGAACAAGUACCGUGAGGGAAAGAUGAAAAGAACUUUGAAAAGAGAGUUAAACAGUACGUGAAAUUGUCAAAAGGGAAGCGUUUGACACCAGUGUUGUUUUCUCGAAAAUCAAUUAAAAAUGGCUCGAUUUUGUAUUGCUUGAGACCUUAAAAGCUCACUGUACAUUUUUCGUGUCUUUUUUAAUGCACUUUUCGUUUAACAAGUCAACAUCAGUUUCUUUUGUUGUAAAAGGGUCAUUGGAAGGUGGCUUUCUUUUCGGAGAAAGUGUUUAUAGCCUUUGGCCUCUGCAAUCGGAGAGACUGAGGUCUGCAGCGUAGACUCUUCGGGGUUAGAUACGUUUGUGCUAAGUUAUAGCUUUUUAUAGACAACUUGUUGACUAUAAUUAGUCUUGUAGCUUACUCGCUUAUGCUAUUUUACCUACGCUUAGGAUGUUGAAGAUGUAGCACAUCAU